Arvicanthis niloticus (Nile rat) is the source of this 252-nucleotide non-coding RNA. Lineage: Eukaryota; Metazoa; Chordata; Mammalia; Rodentia; Muridae. The record is from RefSeq and is a predicted model, not a curated record.
GCUCCGCUUACGGAACGCUGCUUGCCUGCCACUCCGAAACAGCCACAUAGCGUGGUGGUCUUGGUUUCUUUUCCUAGUGUGCUUUCUGCCUCAGCUUGUGGACGGUGACGGCUCACCUCCCCCUUGCUCCUGGGGCUCUGAACUCAGAGGCCCAGAGCCCUGGACCGUGUCUGUGGAAUGGCUCAGCAUAUCUGGCCGAAGAAAUUGGCAACAUUUGCUACGAAUAAAACCCAAGCGGUUCCAGCAGCCAUU